GACAGAGGUGCCGAGCGUUAGGCGGAAUCACUGGGCUUAAAGCGUGUGUAGGCGGGCGGGCAAGUACCUUGUGAAAUCCCACGGCUCAACCGUGGAACGGCUGGGUAUACUGCCUGUCUUGAGCCAACUAGGGGCGAGCGGAACAGACGGUGGAGCGGUGAAAUGCGUAGAUAUCGUCUGGAACGCCCAAGGUGAAAACAGCUCGCUGGGGUUGUGCUGACGCUGAGACACGAAAGCCAGGGGAGCGAACGGG
RNAcentral lists this ribosomal RNA (253 nucleotides) under uncultured bacterium. RNAcentral's name for it is "partial 16S ribosomal RNA". It matches the Rfam family "Bacterial small subunit ribosomal RNA", at positions 524 to 776 of the family's 1533-position model. The record is from RNAcentral.